UCCACAGAGCUGCUCAGUCAGCUGAGCUAAUUGCCUCUCUGAAAUCUUCUCUUGCACCUGUCCCUUGCCAUGCUACCCCAACUAAUCUGAGGGUUGCUUGUGUUCCAGCACUUUGAAAUUAAAUUGCUGGAGGCCUGAGUGCAAAAUGAAGCUAAGCUGUGUUCUAUCGGCCAUAAGCAAUAGCAAAUGCAGGUGAAGAGCCCACAGAUAUUCCUGUUUCGGUCAAGGCAGCAUCUCCUUCCUACAUGCACAAACCAGGUGGAUUUUGCAGACAGUUUGGAUUCUCCACCACAGUGUGCUUUUGCCUGGUGAGGGAGCUGUGUCCCUUCUGCCCUGCAGCCAUACCGCCUGAUCUCCUCCUGCUCCAGGCGCAGCUCCCGCACCACCUCUUCAAAACGCUGCUUCUCUGCUUCCAGGAUCUGGUUCAGACGCUCGAGUUCCUGUCCCAAACGAGAAGACAGGAAUGUACUCUGCCAACACAGUUAGGAGAGGCUCCUCUGUUAACAGUGCCUGGGACUUUUAACAUGGCACUUAACCCAAGCUGUGUAGAGCUACAGGGUGUCUGACUCCACCACGCUUUUGUCCAGGGGCAAUUAGAAGGAUUUGGGGUUGCCUGAGGAUUUUCAAACAUCCAGAAGCCCCAGGCAGGUUACCAAGCACCUGGAAAUCUCAGACAUGCUCCUUGCAGAGGUCAGCUCGGCCACAUAUAUAAAAAAGGUCCAAAACUCCCUGAGAAUGCUGGACUUACUUGUAUGUACCAUUUUCACUUGUAUGUUUCAGGCACCCACACAUACAGACACAGAAAAGCCAGACAGCCUCAGAAUGCAGCAGCUCUGGGAUUUCUGUGCCUGAACUGUGAUACUUCUACCAGCUCAGCCUUUCUUCCCACCCCAACUGGGGCAGGAAAACACAAACCAUUCAGUUACAGCUUUGUCACAGUUUAAUCAGCCUGUCACUAUCUUUGUGCUGAUAAAACCAAAACUCAGUAAGGAUCCCUCCCUCUCCUGGUCAGGUCCACUUGCAGCCAUAGUGGCUGUGCAGAGCUCCUGCUACAGGCCCCUGCCAGUCACAGAACAGUGUUGGCACUGGAUAAAUUCAUAAUAAGACUCUUGCUCUGUGGUGCAGGUACACAGUUGGAGCUGCUUUCCCAACAUACUGCUCUGAAGCCUUCAGGGUCCCAGAGGGUCAAACCACAAACUUCAGUGAGAUCUACAUUCAGUCCUUCACAGCACCAAACUCCUUCAAAUGAACCCAGCCCCAUCUGCUCUUUGUGGGCAAUGGAGUUACUGUGUAUGGCUUUGGAAGAGCAGAGAUUUGUUCCAAAAUCUUCAGACAAGGUCAUUUCCCCCACUGUGGCUGUGGGCUGUGCAGCAGGCCACCUCACCAUCUCACCAGAGGGAGAUGUCUCUCUGCAAAGGCAAAAGGAGCUUAGCCCUAAGCAAGUGUCCAAGCCACUUUUGGAUUUUCGCUCUCCAGAAAUGUAUGCAAGAAAAGGCUUGAGAAGCCUAGGUCAGCAUUUCCAUCUUUUCCUAAGGAGAGGCAGCAGUCAUUUUGGAUUAACUGGAAAAGAGCAUGAGGCACUUUGCAAUGUUGUGACAUGGUGGUCCAUAUCCAUGCAGACUUUCCAACUGGACAAUCCGUUUGCACAGCUAUUUUGCCAUGACUUUAUGAUGAUGCUAUAAAAAUCAGUAUAGAUUUGGCUCAGUAAAUAUAAGGAUGUGCUACUUUUUAUAUUAAGCAAUUACAAGCUAGGAAUAGUUUGAAAAGCAAUUAUAAACUUGAUAAAGCAGCCUGGCCUAGUGAAUGUCCCUCCCUGCCGAUGGCAGGGGAGUUGUUACAAGAUUAUCUUUAAGGUCCCUUCCAACCCAAGCCAUUCUAUUCUAAGGUAAAUUAAGGUAUAACAGUCACAUCUAAGGGAGUGCUCUCUUGAUUUUUCCCCAGUGCAACAUUUUUUAUUCUCCCCAUCUCUGUUGUGUCCAAAGAACAAACCAUAUUGUUUUUUGUGCUCCUUGUUUCUCACAACAGUAUCUUUAUGCUAAAACAAUGUUUGUUUACUUGUUUUCUAAUUGUGGAGAUGGCCACAUUAAUUGCCAAAAUCUUCUUGAAUCUGCCAAACAACAAUUGUGUAAUUCAGUCCAGUGAGUAUGAUUUUCAUUUGAUCUUCCUCCCUGGUCCUCCUGGAGUCAUAAUGACAAACCUGCUGCAUGGAAAGUAACAGGGAAAGGGAGCAGGGAAACAUCUCCAUGACCCAUCUCAGGCACAAGUCUUACUUGUCUUUUCAGCCACAGGACCCAGAGGUUGGCUGAAAAAUCUUGAGCCUCCACAAGCCUCUCUCCCGGAACAUUGACAUGCCUUCAAACCAACAAGUCCCAACCUCCCAGCCCUGCCACAUGGCAGCUGAAGGAAAUUGGCUUGUGAUGAACUCACCUCUUUUUGCUCCCUCUGCAGACAUAGCUCCUCUGUUUCUUCCAUUAGUUUAUCUGCAAGCACACAAAAAAAGUCCAAGCACAGAGAAAAGCAUUUUAUAUCCUCAGGAUAUUUACAAACAAGAAACACUGAAUUUUUGAAGCCUGAAAAUGCAGCAUUCCCUAUUCCUUUGUGUGAGUCUGUCUGGGAGGCUCCAAAGGCUGAGAUGGCACUAAUGGGAUGUUCUAUAACUUCCCUCCCGCAAAACAACUUAAUCAACUAAACAAGCAUAUUGCUUUGUACUCCCUCUAAGGUUUCCUCUCGAUGUUCUUAAAGAGCAUUAAUGAACCAUCCUUCACCAUCCUCCAGCUGAGUCAGGAAAAUAUUCUUAUCUCUGCUUCACAGAUAAGGAACAAGGCACAGAAAGGUCAAGUGAGUGCAGAGGGUCACACCACAUGUAGAAGCAGUCAGUUUUCCUGCAGCUCACCUGCCUAGUCCAUCAUCCUCUCCUCAGCCCUCUUGGGCAGCACUGCCAACUUCCUAUCAUCACCUUGGGAUGUCUCAGCCAAGCCCAGAAAUCAAUCCCUAACUUAGCCACAAAACUUCUGCUGUACAGAGCAGUUCCCCUCAACAUCAGUUGCUCUUGUCCUCUGAACACACACACACACCCCCAGCAGAGGCUGUGCUCUGUCCUCACGCUGCAGCCUGAUCACCUCUGCUGUGCCAGCUCCAAGCUCAGCAGCUCUGCCUCGGGCAGCUCUUAGCCACACUUACAGGAACCCGGAGAGAAACGCUUCUGGUGGUCAAGCCUCGGGUUUAGCUCUCAGCUCUGCCACCUGGCUGCCACGGGAGCAGGGCAGAUUGACUGGAGCACUUCUGUCUUCCUCUUGAGAGGUGAGUGAGGCGCUACUGGUUUCCCUGGUACUGAGGACCUGACAAGGUUCCUGCUGCUGGCAGCAUUACUACUUCUAGGAGGAAUGCAGACCUCUACCUCCUGCCCAGAGCAGGGCUCCUGGUGCCAGAGAAAUAGUGUUACAUUACCCAAGCUCUGCUGAGCACCACUGAUGCCUUUCUUUCCCACUCUCUCCCUCUUCUCCCUGGCCAGAGCUCAGCACAGAUGCACUGUACUAACAGAGGCUCUCCCACCCUCCCUCUUCUGCCACUCCUGGGGGGUCCCAGCCCUGGACCUGAUGGCUUCUGUAAUGUCCAUGUGUGACAGUGAAACCUGGAUCCCAGCUGGCUGGAAGAUAACUCAGUGUGGAUUCAAGAAAUUCCUCAGAGCAGUGUUUGUCCAGAGAACCUUGACCUGCUUUCAGGAACAGUGCCUGACCUCAAAGCUUGACUACAGGGUGGACACAGAUCAUUGAAGGUCCUCCUCUCAGUAGCCCCCGUUAUUCCUUUGUCAAGUGUGGAACCACUUCUCCCUGCCUGCCUCACGUAUGAGCCCAUCCAUCACCUCACAUGGGUGAAUGAUGUUCAGAUGGACAGAGUAAACAUGCCUUGAUACAUACUUGAGCUAUGAUCACUGUCACUUGUAAGACCAUAUACUGAGAUCAGCCCUGAUCAGCAUGGAUGCAGAAAUGCAAAAAGCUCCUUAAGAUUCCUCCAGUGGCUUGACAAUUAGGAGUAGAAGAAUGAGCUCCUGCUCAAGGCAUCAUCAACCUGAAGCACCCAAAUUUCUGCUAUCUUAUUUAAAGCAGAUAACUCUCCAGACAAGUCACUGGGCCCACACUUGUGACCUGCAGCCCCCAGGUCAGAAGGUCUCUUAGACCUGGGGAAUGCUGUAACUCAGAGGGCAUCUGGAUUAAAAGGGCUACUCUCCCUUGACUCUUCCUAUAGGCAACGAGGGAAAGAAAUAACUGGACCUCCCAAGGCAGUCAGAGCAUCCAAGGUAUCAGGCCAUGCAGAGGUUGGCUCCCAAAUAGGGAACUGGAUUACAUAAUCUACCUCUCUUCAUACCUAGAUUACUUCACGUUCAUCUGUUCUUUCUCCACUGUUUACAGAGAGCACUGACAAAUUAACUACUGCCAUUAGAUACCUCAAACAAGCCCAUGUAAAUGCUCCCACUUCCAAUAUGAACAGUGAGCAAGUAGAGUAAGACCAAAUAAAACACCAGCUAGGUGAAGAAAACUCAUAUAUGAAAAUCUGUGACCAACCUCAGAAGUAUCAGUCCUGUCUGAUUGAGGGAGACAAAGGUAUUGUCUGUUUGCUUGUGAGCAGCUGAAACUAGCACAUCCAAACCUCUCAGGGGUGGCAAAUGUUUGUACAGAUGAGCCAUGGAGGACUGCAGAAUGUUGGGCAAGGCAUGUUCCUCCUUCACACUCCACACAGAUGUCCAGAUCCCACCUUAACUUUUGCAUGUUUUGACUCCCUUCAGACCCGAAUUUCAGCUGCUGACUGCUCAAAAGCUUCAUCCAGAGAAAACCUGUAGCUGCUUGUCUUGACCACACUGACUACUCCAGGAAAAGCAAAAUUACUAUUUUGGCCUUUAUGGCUUUUCAAAGUAAGAGUUUCCUACCUAAAUAUUCCUGUUUCUCCUUGGCCAGCUGUAGUCCUUGAGCUUCCAGGCUCUCGAUCAUGGCUUCUCCCAGCUGGGCAUUCUUCCAGGUCCUAGGGAGAGCAGACACAAAGCAGGCAAUGUAAGAGAGCUAAGGGUCCCACAGACUAGGACAGAGAAUUCAGCCUAGCAAACUACCAAGGAAUUCAAACAUGCAGACUCUCAUCAGCUGGGACCAUAAUUCCCUAAAAGUUUUCUCCACAAAUGGAUUGGAGAAAUUUCCCUGGCAUUCAGUAUUUUUUUUUAAUACAUUGGCUGUAUUUCAACCCCUCACAGCUAUUCAAAUUUUUUUUCCAGUGUUUUUGAGAUUUUUAUAUUGAACUUAAUUUUGAGGGCUCUCCAGAACAAUCCAGCACAUUCACAGCCUUCAACUGCAACAGGAUAUACCUGGAACUCUUUAAAUGACAGACUUUAGAACCAGAUUUUAGCUUUUAACUCUAGUAACUUCCCACUGCCAGCAACAUUGUCUUCUUCAGCCUUUCCAAGAUUUUGCUGUUAGAGUCACUCUUCCCCUUCCAACUUCAACCACUUCUUGAAUCCUUCCUAUGGCCUUUUACCUUCAGUCUUUCUGGUAUCCAUCAUCCAUUCUGGAACCAAUCAACCCCUCCUCUGCUAAAGGUGUAA
Long non-coding RNA from Passer domesticus (house sparrow), 5587 nucleotides. RefSeq lists it as uncharacterized. The record is from RefSeq and is a predicted model, not a curated record. Lineage: Eukaryota; Metazoa; Chordata; Aves; Passeriformes; Passeridae. The transcript is spliced from 2 exons.